UGGGGACUUGACCAUGGAACUGGCAUGUAUUAUGAACUGAGUUGGAGUUGUUUCAAAACUACUUUGUUUCCGCUACUGCUAUGGUUUGUAGUAACCUCUUUUAAACUCUGAUGUGAUGUAAAACUAUGUUCUGUGUUGAAUGUUGUAAUCUGUGAUGGUGAUGCUUGAUCAUGUACGAUCUUGGUUGUAUGUUGGUUGAAUCGAGGUCUUUUGAGAUUUCGUCGGACUACCGGGUUUAUAUGGGUUCAAGUCCAUUGGCUUGACUGCCUCUGUGGUCGCUAAUUCACUUGAAUUCUUAUAAAUUGGACGGUUCUGUUACAGAAACCAUAGUUAUCCUCUCUAUUCUCCUACCAUCGCCCAUAUACUAGAUUGCUCUACUCUAUAUUCCCCCAUUAUCAUUUUACCUUUAAUAUUGUUCUAAUUCAAUUCUACCAUCUUUCCUAUUUACACCUACCUAUCUAUCUAGGUUAAAUUAGAGCGUAGAUCAGUUCUCCCAUUUCCCUGUGGAUACGAUAAAACCUUUAACCGGGUAAAAGCUACAACGGUAUCCGUGCGCUUGCGGAUUUAUCUGUGUGCUUAUAAAUACCAUAGUACACUCUAGUGCCAUGCUGGGGAUGACAACCUAGUUUUCAAGUGGUGUUAGCAAGUGUCAACAAGCUUUUUGGCGCCGUUGCGGGGGAAACGGUUUCUGAGUUGACUACGAACUAGCUUAAUCAUUUUCUAAAAAAUAAAAAUAAAAAAGAAAUAUAUAUUUUUUUCCUUUUAUCAUUUGCCUUAUCUCUGCUAUUCUUUCUUCUUGUCUAAUCCUUUAUCUCUAGUCUAUCUUGAAGGCAAACAUGUCUAUCUAUCAGUUUAAUAGACCUACGGGCACACAUCUCGAACCACCAAAAUCUUCAAAGCCUAUCAUGACAUCUAGUUUUGAGAUAAGCCUGGAAUACAUAGAAUUUCUUAAAAAAAACCUUUCUUAGGAGAAGGUGAGGAAAACCCAUACACACAUCUAAGAGAGUUUUAUCGAGUCUGUGACCUCCUUCGCAUUGAAGGCAUGCCCGAUGAGACCCUUGUUGAUAUUUGGUAACGCCAUCAGGAAAUGAUCCGCAAGCGCACGGAUAUCGGUGAGCACUUCACCCGGGAGGUUAUCCAGAGUAUCGUAUUUAUAUUUUUACCAC
Molecule: long non-coding RNA, 1166 nt
Filed under: Sorghum bicolor (sorghum)
Lineage: Eukaryota; Viridiplantae; Streptophyta; Magnoliopsida; Poales; Poaceae
Description: long non-coding RNA (SBIC_LNC006437)
Source: RNAcentral